GAUGAACGCUGGCGGCGUGCUUAACACAUGCAAGUCGAACGGUGAACACGGAGCUUGCUCUGUGGGAUCAGUGGCGAACGGGUGAGUAACACGUGAGCAACCUGCCCCUGACUCUGGGAUAAGCGCUGGAAACGGCGUCUAAUACUGGAUAUGUGACGUGACCGCAUGGUCUGCGUUUGGAAAGAUUUUUCGGUUGGGGAUGGGCUCGCGGCCUAUCAGCUUGUUGGUGAGGUAAUGGCUCACCAAGGCGUCGACGGGUAGCCGGCCUGAGAGGGUGACCGGCCACACUGGGAUUGCGACACGGCCCAGACUCCUACGGGAGGCAGCAGUGGGGAAUAUUGCACAAUGGGCGAAAGCCUGAUGCAGCAACGCCGCGUGAGGGAUGACGGCCUUCGGGUUGUAAACCUUUUUUAGCAGGGAAGAAGCGAAAGUGACGGUACCUGCAGAAAAAGCGCCGGCUAACUACGUG
RNAcentral lists this ribosomal RNA (469 nucleotides) under uncultured bacterium. Its description in RNAcentral is "partial 16S ribosomal RNA". It matches the Rfam family "Bacterial small subunit ribosomal RNA", at positions 28 to 507 of the family's 1533-position model. The record is from RNAcentral.